Molecule: ribosomal RNA, 1344 nt
Filed under: Triticum aestivum (bread wheat)
Lineage: Eukaryota; Viridiplantae; Streptophyta; Magnoliopsida; Poales; Poaceae
Description: partial small subunit ribosomal RNA
Source: RNAcentral
AUGGCAACAUCAGAUGGGAUGGUAUGUACUGUUGUGAUCGUCAAUAGACACUCCAACAAGGUUGAGUUGGCGGCUAAGCUUUGCAACGAGGAGCGCUCCGACACAAAAUCAGCAUGGCAAAUUGGGGAGUCCAUGGAGGAGACUGUCGGGCGAGCCAAAGCCAAGAGGAGUCGGGAUCAUAUGGAGGCGCGCAAUCAGGGAAUGAAGCGACUGGAACGGCAAACAUCUGUGUGGCGUAGAGCCAGCAGGUGGGCUUUUUUAGGCCCGGCCCAUGGCCAGGUAUGGGCAAAUAAGACUAAACCCUGUUUCAACUCAUGUCGGGGCUGCACGCUCAUCUGUGGUGGCACCAUUAAGAUGUAUGCGAGCAUCAUGGACGAUCAUGACAACCGGCUGCGAUGGGCUCCCUGCCCAUCUAUUCUGGCGCUAUCGAUAUGGAGGCUAGCAUCAUGGAUAUUUAUUUAUGGCCGCCAUUGCAACGUCGUCUUCACUGUUCUCCCUCAGUCAAUGGCAUUGCCUCGACCGCAUCGGCGACUUCCGUUGCCGGGCGAUGGAGAAGGUCCUCGCCGGCCAUGCAAGUUCAGCAAGCACGGCUGCGAGGCGACCGUCAAGUUCACGGAGCUGCGUGGCCACGAGGAGGAGGCGUGCCCAUACGCGCCCUACAGCUGCCCGUUCGACGGCUGCGCCUACCGCGGCGCGCUGCUCUACGACCACGUCCGCGACGAGCACGCGCCGGCGCCCAACUGUUACACGGGCAGCCUGAUCCCGGGCGCGAGCGUCACUAUGCGGAGGGAUGACCCUGUCCACGCGCUCCUUCACCGCGACAAGGUGAGCGUGAUCCUCCUGCUCAACGGCGGCGACGUCUCGCUGUCGCUGGAUGGUGGUGUGACGCGCGACGAGUCUGGGCCUGGGACUGGGACUGGGUCGCCCUCGCUGACGGCGUCGGGGAAAGUGCAGUACGUCCGCCGGCUGGAGUGGUACCGGCCCCAGCACUUCCUUUUCGUGUCGGACGCUUUCUGGGGCUCUUCCGGCAGCGGCGUCGUCACCUUCACCACCACCAUCACCCUGACCAAGGAGGACGUGGAGGCCUUCUGGCGGCAGCACAAGAAGCCGGCGCCCGAGGACAGCGUUAACGGCGGCCUGACCGUCCUCACCUCGCCGCUGUCGAGGUGGACCCUGUGUGCAUCGACUCUGUCUCACGUCCGUUCGUCGCCUCCGGCGAUGACGGAUAGCGUGGACGGUGAGGGUGACGGCGAGGCUGCCGCUAGCCCCAGCACGACCCGCGACUGGUUAUGUGAUUCAAGAAAAUGGUCGUAUGUUUUAGAAAAGAAGGCUCAUGCCUUUUGA